RNAcentral lists this transfer RNA (67 nucleotides) under Abantennarius coccineus (scarlet frogfish). RNAcentral describes it as "tRNA-Cys". The record is from RNAcentral. Lineage: Eukaryota; Metazoa; Chordata; Actinopteri; Lophiiformes; Antennariidae.
AGCUCUGGGGUGUUAACAUACCAGAUUGCAAAUCUGGAGAGGCAGGCUCAUCAACCUGCCAGAGCUU